Molecule: long non-coding RNA, 392 nt
Filed under: Capra hircus (goat)
Lineage: Eukaryota; Metazoa; Chordata; Mammalia; Artiodactyla; Bovidae
Description: lncRNA (ENSCHIG00010002316.1)
Source: RNAcentral
GCAAGGUUAAACGUUGAUUCCUUUUCCUCUCAUAGCUAGCGUUCCCUGACUCCCAGACUGAGUCCCACUUGACUUGUUUAUUCCUAUUCUGCUUUGACUUUGUUGCUUCUCUUUAAUCUCUUCAUCACAGGAUUGACAGAGGAACAGAGAAAGUAUCAAGAUCAAACACAUCAAACAGAAGACUGACUUACAUAUGGAAGAAUCCAACUUAGUCCAGCUGUACAAAAUGCUACAUAUACCCGAAGGAAGACAUAUCAGAGGUUGAAAACUGCAUUACUCCAUCACAGAAAAGCAAUGUUGCAGAUUGACAUGAAAGUUUCUGAACCCAGGACCAAAGUUCUGAUAACAGUCUGCCUUUAUGAAAAGGAGAAAUCUUUGAACAUUUAAAAAAG